GGUUCGAUUAUGGCUCAGUUGACGCUGGCGGGAUGCUUUACACAUGCAAGUCGAACGGCAGCACGGACUUCGGUCUGGUGGCGAGUGGCGAACAGGUGAGUAAUGUAUCGGAACGUGCCUAGUAGCGGGGGAUAACUACGCGAAAGCGUAGCUAAUACCGCAUACGCCCUUCGGGGGAAAGCGGGGACCUUCCCGGGCCUCGCACUAUUAGAGCGGCCGAUAUCGGAUUAGCUAGUUGGUGAAGUAAUGGCUCACCAAGGCGACGAUCCGUAGCUGGUUUUGAGAGGACGACCAGCCACACUGGGACUGAGACACGGCCCCGAGCUCCUACGGGAGGCAGCAGUGAAAUUUCAGACAAUGGGGGAAACCCUGAUCCAGCCAUCCCGCGUGUGCGAUGAAGGCCUUCGGGUUGUAAGCCACUUUUGGCAGGAAAGAAACGGCACCGGAUAAUACCCGUGCAACUGACGGUACCUGCAGAAUAAGCACCGGCUAACUACGUGCCAGCCGCGGUAAUACGUAGGGUGCGAGCGUUAAUCGGAAUUACUGGGCGUAAAGCGUGCGCGAGCGGUUCGGAAGAAAGAUGUGAAAUCCCAGAGCUUAACUUUGGAACUGCAUUUUUAACUACCGAGCUAGAGUGUGUCAGAGGGAGGUGGAAUUCCGCGUGUAGCAGUGAAAUGCGUAGAUAUGCGGAGGAACACCGAUAGCGAAAACAGCCUCCUGGGAUAACACUGACGCUCAUGCACGAAAAGCGAUGAGGAGCAAACGGGAUUAGAUACCCUGGUAGUCCACGCCCUAAACGAUGUCAACUAGCUGUUGGGGCCUUCGGGCCUUGGUAGCGCAACUAACGCGUGAAGUUGACCGCCUGGGAGUACGGUCGCAAGAUUAAAACUCAAAGGAAUUGACGGGGACCCGCACAAGCGGUGGAUGAUGUGGAUUAAUUCGAUGCAACGCGAAAAACCUUACCUACCCUUGACAUCUGGAAUCCGAAGAGAUUUGGGAGUGCUCACCGAGAGAACCGGAACACAGGUGCUGCAUGGCUGUCGUCAGCUCGUGUCGUGAGAUGUUGGGUUAGAAUCCGCAACGAGCGCAACCCUUGUCAUUAGUUGCUACGAAAGGGCACUCUAAUGAGACUGCCAUUCGACAAACCGGAGGAAGGUGGGGAUGACGUCAAGUCCUCAUGGCCCAUAUGGGUAGGGCUUCACACGUCAUACAAUGGUCGGGACAGAGGGUCGCCAACCCGCGAGGGGAGCCAAUCCCAGAAGACCCGAUCGUAGUCCGGAUCGCGGUCUGCAACUCGACUGCGUGAAGUCGGAAUCGCUAGUAAUCGCGGAUCAGCAUGUCGCGGUGAAUACGUUCCCGGGUCUUACGUACACACGCCCGUCACACCAUGGGGAGUGGGUUUUACCAAGUAGUUAGCCUAACCGUAAGGAGGGCGAUUACCACGGUAGGAUUCAUGACUGGGGUGAAGUCGUAACAAGGUAA
RNAcentral lists this ribosomal RNA (1482 nucleotides) under uncultured Bordetella sp. RNAcentral's name for it is "partial 16S-23S ribosomal RNA intergenic spacer". It matches the Rfam family "Bacterial small subunit ribosomal RNA". The record is from RNAcentral. Lineage: Bacteria; Pseudomonadati; Pseudomonadota; Betaproteobacteria; Burkholderiales; Alcaligenaceae.